This 231-nucleotide ribosomal RNA is filed under the name Aporrectodea sp. MPL-2014. Its description in RNAcentral is "partial 16S ribosomal RNA". It matches the Rfam family "Bacterial large subunit ribosomal RNA", at positions 2520 to 2827 of the family's 2925-position model. Lineage: Eukaryota; Metazoa; Annelida; Clitellata; Crassiclitellata; Lumbricidae. The record is from RNAcentral.
GGCACCGUCGAUGUUGGCUUAGGGAAUCUAUAUGGCGCAGAAGUCAUAUAAAGAUGGUUUGUUCAACCAAUAAUACCCUACRUGAGCUGAGUUCAGACCGGCGUAAGCCAGGUUAGUUUCUAUCCUCAAUAAACACAUCUAUUUAUAGUACGAAAGGACCUAAAUAAGAAUAAUAAUUAUACACCUAGAAUAAAUAUAAAACAUAUUAAACAAAUCACCACAUUCACUAUG